Long non-coding RNA from Carassius auratus (goldfish), 1359 nucleotides. RefSeq lists it as uncharacterized. NCBI's taxonomy places the organism in Eukaryota, Metazoa, Chordata, Actinopteri, Cypriniformes, Cyprinidae. The transcript has 4 exons. The record is from RefSeq and is a predicted model, not a curated record.
GUAUGCGAAGCCACAUGGCAUGCUGGAGUGGAUGAGCUGGUCCAUAAUGACUACUGGCCUGCUACUUCACAAUUUUCUACAGUAUAUGCUACAGACAUCCUAUUUUCCUUUGAGGAGUUGAAGUUGGCAGCACCUGGGAUGUCCAGCCUAGCAUUUCUUAGAAUGCUAGAGAAACGAACUGUCCGCUUUGGCCGUACUGGAAAGAUCAUAGCAGACAGCUUCAGAAAAAGCUUUUUGGAGUGGGAGGCAGUCCGAUUUGAAGUGGACAAACUCAUCCAGGAAGACCACUUUAACUGCCCAGCAUGCACCCCACACAUGCUUGCGGUCUCUGUUGAUGGAAACCGUAAGCACUAUAGAUUCAAGAGUGCAGCAAGAUCAGAGGAACAACCAUCUUCGAUGGUGUAUUCAUAGCCAAGGACGAUGAUGGAGCAAGAUUCGUAGACUAUGUCCAUUCCUCAACCAGACAUGCCUCUGGCAGAGGUGUCUGUGGGGGACAGUGGUCAGCAGCACGAGAAACGUCACAGAAGUCCUCCAGCAAAAUAGAUGAGGAGGGCCUAGAACUUGCAGUUUGCCGGCAUGGUGUUCUUCUUUGUGCCCUUAAUAUGUUCAGGGGGUAGGUUUUUGGCUACCCCCUGUACCUCCAGAAAAAAAUGGCUUGUAAGCCAGUGAAAUUCUUUGCUAUGGAUGUUGCGUGCAAGUACUGGCCUUACCUCCAGAGAGUGAAUGAGAGAUGCCCUGAGCUUCAAGAUCUGCUCUCCAUGAAGCCAUUUCUAUCAGUGUUUCAUGCCAAAGCCCACGACUUCAAAUGUGAGGUAAGAAAAUGUGACUUUUCAUGUGAGGUUCUUUCCCUAAACAUAAGAUUGUUGCCACUUAGAUUUUUUUUUUUUUUUUUUUUUAUUUGGAUUUCCUCACUGAUUUUUGCGCUGGUGUUAUAUAUCACUCUGCAUUUUGCAUUGAAUUGACCUACACCAAUGUUCCAUUAGUGCGAAGAUUUAUCAAACUCUUGCCUCUUUGCUAUUGCCGUACCACAACUGUGUGGUUAUCCAACCAACCUCUCUCUUACUAGUGCUAUAUUGUGCAUACACACACAUUAUAAGAAUUGGACCUGGGUUCCCAGACACACUGCACAUUGAUGGUGCUGGCACUGUAACCUGUUUUAACCCAGCACAAGUUCCGUGAUUAAUGUUGAUUCCAUAUUCUGUGAAACCCUGCUUAGUAUAAGUUAUGGGUUCAUAUAAAUACACAAGGCCUUAGAUCAAAUGCAGUACUUCUAUUUAUUGAUUACCAUUUGUUUGUCAACAAAACCUUUUUGCCUUUGUCGUCUCAGGAUGGCGAAAAUGCAGUAGGCAAAAAGUGUGG